CCCCAAGCCCCACAACCUUAUCAUGACAGGUCACAUCAUUUACAAUUCAGACUUCCUCGUGACUGACAUUCCUUUUCCUCAUUGCAUCAUCGUGCAUUAGAGUCCUAAUUUCUAAAGAGAAGGGAUACAAUUGCAAAUAAAAACUUCAUAGGCUCUUUAGGGGCAUUUAAAGUCUUCCAUAAAUGGAGCCAGUAGCUAUAGCUGAGAUGGACUGGGUCAAGACUCUGAAAAGGGCUGUCUGUGAUAACACAAGUUCAUUCUUCCAUUUUUGGACUUUUUUUGUACCUGCUUUCGUCAUGAAAUUAUAUCUCACGUUAGCUGUGCCAGGGAUUUUUUUUUUUUCAAAAGUCAAUUUGAUGUCUUUUCAAAACUGCACAUGAUUAUCUUUAAAUCAGGAAAGAGGCCAAGACUUACGGACUGUACUAAGUUAGCAGCCCUCCCAAGAAAUGAAAUUUGAGGUCCAAGAAAAAGAACUGCCAUGUAGAAUGAGACCACAGUAGAAAACCACCUCUUAAUACCUCCCAAGCUUAGGAUGAAGUUUUAAUUACCCCCAAAGAACAAGCCAACAAACAAAAAAUGCUUAUGCACACAGAUAAAUAUAACACAGUAUUGUAUACAUUAACAUAUAUUUGGAUUUUUAAAAAAUCGGUAUAAUUUAUAUAAAUUUUGUAAGUGUAAAGUUUGAUAAAAGGUAUUUUUCCAAACACCAAUUAAAUAGAAAUAUCAACUCUGAUGAUUUCGAAAUAUUUACUUGAUACAUUAUUAACGGGAAAUCUAGGCCAAUUCCCAUGUAUUUCAAAUAGUGACAAAAGAUAUAAAAUGAUUCCAUUUAUAACUCAAAGCCUGGAGUCGCUGCAAGUAAAACUGUUUUAAUGUUACGUAUCACAAAUCCUUAGUGCUAUCAGCGUAUAUGUUUUGGAGUAUAGACUCACGUUCCAACACAAACCCUCGUAAACACAUCCUCCAUGUAGUGCAAACCUGGGAGGAAGUGAAAUAGGCCACUCCCGCAAAACGCAUCUCAACCCUCCCAAGCAACAGCUCUUGUUGUUGAAGUUUCCCUUGACAAACAUGAAAAGUCACCGAUGACUAGGAGGCGAUAGCUCAGUUCAUGUCUCAGGGGUCAAACGUGGGGGGCUUUUUCUCUGGUUUGGGAACAUUCUCAAGUAACCGUAAGAGAACUUUCUACAUGAGCAAGAAGAAAAGGAGAUUUUAAAUCUUUUACUUGCUUUGGAGCUCAUUCACUUUGACAAUACACAAAUAUUUCUGUAAAUAGCCCCAAAUCUUUCCUACGUGAGGAAAGUUGUUUUUUUAAGACUUUAUCAUUACCUGUCAGCAGCCAGUGACACAGCUGAUAUGUGGCUUCUUUCCUAAACCAUUUAAAUAUAAAAGUUGUCCCCACCACAAAUUACAGAGUGAGUGGCAGUGCAAACUGGAUAAAUGGACUUCAUUUUCGAAAUUUAUCCUUUUUUUCCUCCUUACAUAAUCAAAAACUCAAGUAUCUGAGGGAGCCAUUUUAACAAUUCUGCUCUUAAGUAGUAAUUAAAGCGGCCGCUGCAGAGGAGUUUUAUGUCUUUAUAAAUGUCAGCUCAAUUCUAACGAAUCCAAGCUCCUCAGCAGCUACCAACUCCAUGAAUACAAAAAAUUCUGAAAUGUCUUUUUGCCACUUAUACACUUACAAAUCAUGAGGCAAAGUGAAAACCCCAAUCAACUGUGUGUGUCCCUUUCAUUAAUCCUUGAGCCAACAAUGACUGGCAUGCAUUCUAACGCCAGAACUCUUUCCCAAUUAUUGAGAGUAAACAUGAUGCUGACGCUGCAGAAAGACUUAAAUAUCUGAUGACACUUAAUUCCAGAGGGAUCUUAUUGGAGAAUUUAUGAAUAUGACUGGUUUCUGUCAUUGGAGUUUUUCUUUAACAUACAGACAAACCUAUCUCUUUUUUUUCUAAAUAGAUACUAAAAAAGAGUAGAAUUUUUUCUUUCCUGUUGUGGCACAGUGGUUAACGAAUCCGACUAGGAACCAUGAGGUUUUGGAUUCAAUCCCUGGCCUUGCUCAGUGGGUUAAGGAUCCGGCGUUGCUGUGAGCUGUGGUGUAGGUUGCAGACACAGCUGGGAUCCCACAUUGCUGUGGCGCUGGCAUACGCCGGUGGCUACAGCUCCUAUUUGACCCCUAGCCUGGAAACCUCCAUAUGCCGCUGGGGGGGCCCUAGAAAAGGAAAAAAGACAAAA
Molecule: long non-coding RNA, 2223 nt
Filed under: Sus scrofa (pig)
Lineage: Eukaryota; Metazoa; Chordata; Mammalia; Artiodactyla; Suidae
Description: lncRNA (ENSSSCG00055027088.1)
Source: RNAcentral